This is a long non-coding RNA of Suricata suricatta (meerkat), 1041 nucleotides long. RefSeq lists it as uncharacterized. The record is from RefSeq and is a predicted model, not a curated record. The transcript has 5 exons. Lineage: Eukaryota; Metazoa; Chordata; Mammalia; Carnivora; Herpestidae.
UUUGUGAAAAUUGGAGAAACCCUUGAAAGAAGGGGGAGUAUUUAGCUAAGGGAAGACAGAAAAAAAUGAACAUUCCAGAUGGGAACAAUUACUGUGGCAGAGACUGAAGGGAGCUCUAUUAAGGCAGUGAAGUUACCCAUCGGGCCAAAGCAGAGUUCUAAUGUUGAGAAAUCAGUGAAUAACUUGAGUACGGCCACAGUUGAUUAGCUGAAGAGGUGCCAAGAGGACUUCCUUCUCAACCAGCCUAGCAACCCAUAUGCCUCCACUGGGCUGAGCAAGUUGACGCCUGACAUCAAAGUGGGAGCGGAUUUUCGGGAUUGAUCCUGAUGUGAAGAAAUCAACUCGUGGAGCAAGAGAUUUCAAGGGCCAAGGGGGAGGGUGUUGCAUGAACUCUGUCCCGCAGUGACAGAUCUACCUCCAAGGAAAAGUACUAUCUCCAAAAGAGCUAUGACUACAUUGCACACUGUUUCAAUGGCCUGAUGAUGAAAACAUACGUCUGCUGUUCUUUCGGGCGGAGGAGCCACAUAAUAAAUGCAAGCUGGUGUGGCUGACAUUAACAGAAAUGCAUCCCACACUAGUCAAAGAAAAACAACAACAACAACAACAACAACAAAACCCCAGAAACGAAGGCAUUGAGCAAGGCGGAGGGGGGCAGCCGAAGAAGUUGAACACCCUACAUAAAGCCCAUCUACUGCAAAGCUGUGAUAAUCCACAGAUGAGCAAGCCAAUAGACUCUUAGGUGGAUUUUGUUUUUUCCCUGAGCUGAAGAGAAGUGCAAACUGAAACUAAAUUGAUCUGGCUUCCCAUACAUCAUACACAUCUGAUAGGAUUAUGAUUAAAGAUGUAUCAGACGGGCAGAGCAAAGCAUCAAGUAUUCACCCAAAUAAUGACCGCAUGUUGCCCAGUUACUUGGAAAUAGGACCGUGCACCUUCUGGCUGAUUUCUAGUCUGUGAUCACUGAUGGGAAGGCUUCUACUGCCCCUUUAUCUCCCUCCUGGGACAUCCAAAUCUGGCUACAAGUAAAUUAUACUGUCUAUUUGA